CCUACGGGUGGCAGCAGUGAGGAAUAUUGGUCAAUGGGCUUACGCCUGAACCAGCCAAGUCGCGUGAGGGAAGACUGCCCUAUGGGUUGUAAACCUCUUUUGUCAGGGAGCAACGCCGGCUACGUGUAGCCGGACUGAGAGUACCUGAAGAAAAAGCAUCGGCUAACUCCGUGCCAGCAGCCGCGGUAAUACGGAGGAUUCAAGCGUUAUCCGGAUUUAUUGGGUUUAAAGGGUGCGUAGGCGGUUCGAUAAGUUAGAGGUGAAAUCCCGGGGCUCAACUCCGGCACUGCCUCUGAUACUGUCGGGCUAGAGUUUAGUUGCGGUAGGCGGAAUGUAUGGUGUAGCGGUGAAAUGCAUAGAGAUCAUACAGAACACCGAUUGCGAAGGCAGCUUACCAAACUACGACUGACGUUGAGGCACGAAAGCGUGGGGAGCAAACAGGAUUAGAUACCCGGGUAGUC
RNAcentral lists this ribosomal RNA (461 nucleotides) under uncultured bacterium. RNAcentral's name for it is "partial 16S ribosomal RNA". It matches the Rfam family "Bacterial small subunit ribosomal RNA", at positions 338 to 795 of the family's 1533-position model. The record is from RNAcentral.